RNAcentral lists this transfer RNA (85 nucleotides) under Panus rudis PR-1116 ss-1. RNAcentral describes it as "tRNA-Asn". It matches the Rfam family "tRNA". From Rfam's summary of the family: Transfer RNA (tRNA) molecules are approximately 80 nucleotides in length. Their secondary structure includes four short double-helical elements and three loops (D, anti-codon, and T loops). Further hydrogen bonds mediate the characteristic L-shaped molecular structure. tRNAs have two regions of fundamental functional importance: the anti-codon, which is responsible for specific mRNA codon recognition, and the 3' end, to which the tRNAs corresponding amino acid is attached (by aminoacyl-tRNA synthetases). tRNAs cope with the degeneracy of the genetic code in two manners: having more than one tRNA (with a specific anti-codon) for a particular amino acid; and 'wobble' base-pairing, i.e. permitting non-standard base-pairing at the 3rd anti-codon position. The record is from RNAcentral. Lineage: Eukaryota; Fungi; Basidiomycota; Agaricomycetes; Polyporales; Panaceae.
UGCCCCAUGGCUGAGUUGGUUACAGCGUCCGACUGUUAUUCAUCAUAACAUCGGAAGGUCGUGAGUUCGAGCCUCACUGGGGCAG